RNAcentral lists this ribosomal RNA (433 nucleotides) under uncultured bacterium. RNAcentral's name for it is "partial 16S ribosomal RNA". It matches the Rfam family "Bacterial small subunit ribosomal RNA", at positions 29 to 507 of the family's 1533-position model. The record is from RNAcentral.
AACGAACGCUGGCGGCAUGCCUAACACAUGCAAGUCGAACGAGACCUUCGGGCUUAGUGGCGCACGGGUGCGUAACGCGUGGGAACCUGCCCUUAGGUUCGGAAUAACUCCCCGAAAGGGGUGCUAAUACCGGAUAAUGUCUUCCGACCAAAGAUUUAUCGCGUUUGGAUGGGCGUGCGUUGGAUUAGCUAGUUGGUAGGGUAAAAGCCUAUCACGGCGAGGAUACAUAACUGGUCUGAGAGGAUGAUCAGCGACACUGGGACUGAGACACGGUCCAGACUCCUACGGGAGGCAGCAGUGGGGGAUAUUGGACAAUGGGCGAAAGGCUGAUCCAGUAAUGCCGCGUGAGUGAUGAAGGCCUUAGGGUUGUAAAGCUCUUUUACCCGGGAUGAUAAUGACAGUACCGGGAGAAUAAGCUCCGGCUAACUCCGUG